Gorilla gorilla gorilla (western lowland gorilla) is the source of this 518-nucleotide long non-coding RNA. RefSeq lists it as uncharacterized. The transcript has 3 exons. Lineage: Eukaryota; Metazoa; Chordata; Mammalia; Primates; Hominidae. The record is from RefSeq and is a predicted model, not a curated record.
UCUUAGCUCCCUCUGCUGUUUCUGAGAACACAGUGCCCCAUUUCUUUCCAAGGCUAAAACCUCUCUGGCAACAGAGAACCCGGCUGUUAUGGAUUCAGCAGUUGACGAUUGACCUCCAGCAGGUCUGGGCUUGAUGUUCACCGAUUUUCCCUCAGCAUCGACUGUGGCUCCUCUCAGCUGACUCUGACCCUGCUCUCAGCUGGGCUGCAUCUGCCCAUCUCAGCACAUCAAUAAACAGCAGAGGGAAACUACCACCUUGGAAUGAGCCAGGCAGUUUCUGCUGGGCAGGCUGCAGCCCAGAGCAUGGAAGUAGCUUCUUCCAUCCUACACUGGAAACCACCCAGCAUCCCGGGCCCUCCAGAAAAGAGCCAGACUCCCUUCCCUGGGAAGAGACUAUAGUCCUAUCUGUAUCCUCCGUGGUCAUUGCCCCUCAGUCACAGCAAUGAAGAGCAAAUUACCUGUUUUCUGUAGGUUCCUCUGACAACAACUGCCACAGAGUAAAUAUGAAAGGUUCUGGA